GGAUGAGCCCGCGGCCUAUCAGCUGGUUGGUGAGGUAACGGCUCACCAAGGCGACGACGGGUAGCCGGCCUGAGAGGGCGACCGGCCACACUGGGACUGAGACACGGCCCAGACUCCUACGGGAGGCAGCAGUGGGGAAUAUUGCACAAUGGGCGCAAGCCUGAUGCAGCGACGCCGCGUGGGGGAUGACGGCCUUCGGGUUGUAAACCUCUUUCAGCAGGGAAGAAGCCGCAAGGUGACGGUACCUGCAGAAGAAGCGCCGGCUAACUACGUGCCAGCAGCCGCGGUAAUACGUAGGGCGCAAGCGUUGUCCGGAAUUAUUGGGCGUAAAGAGCUCGUAGGCGGCUUGUCACGUCGGGUGUGAAAGCCCGGGGCUUAACCCCGGGUCUGCAUUCGAUACGGGCUGGCUGGAGUGUGGUAGGGGAGAUCGGAAUUCCUGGUGUAGCGGUGAAAUGCGCAGAUAUCAGGAGGAACACCGGUGGCGAAGGCGGAUCUCUGGGCCAUUACUGACGCUGAGGAGCGAAAGCGUGGGGAGCGAACAGGAUUAGAUACCCUGGUAGUCCACGCCGUAAACGGUGGGAACUAGGUGUUGGCGACAUUCCACGUCGUCGGUGCCGCAGCUAACGCAUUAAGUUCCCCGC
RNAcentral lists this ribosomal RNA (641 nucleotides) under uncultured Streptomyces sp. RNAcentral's name for it is "bacterial SSU rRNA". It matches the Rfam family "Bacterial small subunit ribosomal RNA", at positions 223 to 872 of the family's 1533-position model. Lineage: Bacteria; Bacillati; Actinomycetota; Actinomycetes; Kitasatosporales; Streptomycetaceae. The record is from RNAcentral.